AGUGAACGCUGGCCCUAGGCCUAACACAUGCAAGUCGAACGGCAGCACAGUAAGAGCUUGCUCUUACGGGUGGCGAGUGGCGGACGGGUUAGGAAUACAUCGGAAUCUACUUUUUCGUGGGGUGUAACGUAGGGAAACUUACGCUAAUACCGCAUACGACCAACUGGUGAAAGCAUGCGAUCUUCGCACCUUGCGCGAUUGUAUGAGCCGAUGACGGAUUAGCCAGUUGGCGGCGUAAAGGCCCACCAAGGCGACGUCCCGUAGCUGGUAUGUGAGGAUGAACAGCCACACUGGAUCUGAGACCCGGUCCAGAGUCCUACGGGAGGCAGCAAUGUGGAAUCUUGGACCAUGGGCGCAAGCCUGAUCCAGCCAUCCCGCGUGAGUGAAGAAGGCCUUCGGGUUGUAAAGCCCUUUUGUUGGGAAAGAAAAGCAGCAGCUUACUCCCCCGCUGUUCUGACGGUAGCCUAAAAAUAAGGACCGGCUAACUUCGUG
This 492-nucleotide ribosomal RNA is filed under the name uncultured bacterium. Its description in RNAcentral is "partial 16S ribosomal RNA". It matches the Rfam family "Bacterial small subunit ribosomal RNA", at positions 29 to 507 of the family's 1533-position model. The record is from RNAcentral.